This is a long non-coding RNA of Beta vulgaris subsp. vulgaris (sugar beet), 1848 nucleotides long. RefSeq lists it as uncharacterized. The record is from RefSeq and is a predicted model, not a curated record. Lineage: Eukaryota; Viridiplantae; Streptophyta; Magnoliopsida; Caryophyllales; Amaranthaceae. The transcript has 3 exons.
UAAUUCAGCUGUUUCUUGUGUCGAAAUUACACUAGAAGGAAGCAGCUCAUAUCUUUUAAUUGUAGUUGAAAUAUUAAUGGUUAGGCCCACAUGUAUUGCAAAGAACAAAAAAACACGCAGGAAAGCAAAAAGGAAAAAAGAGCCUCAAGUAUUCACAAGGAAAGGAGUAGGCGCAAGGAAUCAACGCACACAAGAGGAAAAUAAGUAAAGUGGGCUUUUGAAUAAAAAAAGCCACAAAACAGCGAAAAUAAAGAGGGUUUGACAGAUAUCAGUAGGGAGGAUUCAUGUUUAUUGAUUUAGUUUGACAGAUAACCAGGAGCCGUGGGAGACAAAGACCAGAAGAGCCACACGCAUGAAAAAAAAAAGGAAGAAGAAGAGGGGAGCCGACAGGAGAAAUUCAUCCCUAAUAAGUUUUCUUUACUCUUUUCUAUCUAUUUUUCUUUGUUUUCAUGUCUAAUUUAGAGUAGUUUUAUACUAGUAGGAACAUGUAAUUGACUAUUUGAUAUUUGGGUUUAUGAUAUUACGUUUUUAUUUGUGUUAUAAACGAUUAGUUUCUUUUGGGUAUUUAUACAAGGUUUAUUAUCUGGCUUUUGAUUCAUGUUUAUUGAUUUAGUUUGAUCACCUAAAUUAUUUCAUGUCUCCAUUGCUAGAUUAAUUGUAGUUUUAAUUAGGUUGGAACUUUAUGAUCUAAUUAUAAUUUCUAGAAUCUUGUGUAAUAAUGGAAUCCAAUUGGUGUUGUAGCUUACUGGUAAGUUUGAGUUCGGUUGGUUGUGUUUCUAAGGCUAUCAAGUUGGAUAAUUUGAUACAUGCUUUCAUGGUUGGAUUAUUAUGGCUUGAUUAGAAUUAAAUUUUCGUGCUUUUCAUGGGAUUUAGCAAGUCGGAAAGAUAAAGCUAGUAAUCUACUUACUUUCAAGGCAUUAUAUAGUUAACCAAUCUAUCCUAGGCAAGUCGAAUGAGUCAAUGAUUAUGAUAUCCAAUAUCUAUAAAAAGUUACAUGUCUCCUAUUAGUUUCUUAGUUAUCUUUUAAAACCGAAUUUAUUUCCUCCAAUUUAUAUAUUCAUAUUUUAGUUCAACAAUCUUAGUAUAAAAGUGAUAUCCAAGUCCCCCCAUAUUUAUAUAGUAAUAGUUAUUUAUAUAAGUAAACAAUUAGUUUAAGAUAAUAACGCAGUCUGUGUGGGUUCGACCCUUACUUUCCCUAUCUAUCUGUUAAAGUUGGUGAGUGAUUUAUAAAUUUAAUUUUAUUGCGGAAACGACUCGCAUCAAAUUUUGGCGCCGUUGCCGGGGACUGUAUAAUCUAUUAUUUUAGACUAUUUUUUUAGUAUUAGUAUUUAUCUUGUUAUUUGUUUAAAUCUAGAUUUUUGUUGCUUGAUCUAAUAUUUAUUUUUAUAUUUUUUGUGUGACUAUUAACUAGUUAGAUGGGAGGAGAAGGUGAAAAGAACUUGAAAGAACAUAUGUUCAAUGCAUAUGAGACACCCAUGAGUGUAAUUUUCCCGCCUUAGAGAAAUCAUUCAAACUUGAUCCAGGUUUUAUCGGAAUUCUCCCUAAAUUCAUGGUCAUGAUAAGGAAGAUGCUCAUAGACAUUUACAAGAAUUUUCUCUUAAUUGUUCUACUUUGUCAUUAAAUGGGGAAGCUGUAGGAGUAGUUAACCAAGUGGAUUAAGGAAUUUCGUGGCUUUAAGCAUCCUUAGUAAAGUGUGUACUCAGCUUUGGUGAUAGUGUUGUCAUUCCUGUGGCCUGUCACUUGGUGGGUGGCAGAGUGAAAUAUUGUUGCAGGUUUGGUGUUGUCAGCUCAGGAUUCUGAAGUGAAGCAAGAUAAAGAUGUCGUCGUAGCUUAUGGAUUGAGUUUGUA